This 391-nucleotide long non-coding RNA is filed under the name Lathyrus oleraceus (garden pea). RNAcentral's name for it is "Pisum sativum (pea) long non-coding RNA (PSAT_LNC037991)". The record is from RNAcentral. Lineage: Eukaryota; Viridiplantae; Streptophyta; Magnoliopsida; Fabales; Fabaceae.
AUCAAAGCAAAAAUCAAAAGAGGUCAUGAAAAACCUCAACAAAAUAAAAUAAGAUUCGGUGACCACCAUAUCAAGAAUCAAUGGGGCAUGGACAUCCAUGAAGAGCAAAAUAAGGUGACUGCCAUUUCAAGCGAAUCUUGGAUCCUCAUCUUUACACCAUUGAACUCUGUUAAAAGUCGAAUGUGUGUGUUGAGUUAACUGGACAUAGGAUUGGAGAUCAUCACGAAGAAGGGGUGGGUUAAAAUAAACUUUGAGCUUUAUAUCCUUUUGUUCAAAAAACCAUGAACCAGCUACGUUACAACCCUUAAAAGACCUAAUUGAGGUAGGGUUUAUUCUGAAAGCAUACUACAACAAGGUUACGUAAACUGACUCCUAAAUAUUUGCUAAUCAC